CCAGCCAUUCCGUUGGCUGAAGCCAAUGCCAUCGGCUUUGUCAGUAAUGACAAUGUUCGAAAGCUGGCAUAAAUGGAACCCUACCUGGAGCCGAUUCCGCGAGGAAAAGGCGAAACUGCCAGCUACAGGGCGGUUAGGG
RNAcentral lists this non-coding RNA (139 nucleotides) under Anaerobutyricum soehngenii. Lineage: Bacteria; Bacillati; Bacillota; Clostridia; Lachnospirales; Lachnospiraceae. The record is from RNAcentral.